This 494-nucleotide ribosomal RNA is filed under the name uncultured bacterium. Its description in RNAcentral is "partial 16S ribosomal RNA". It matches the Rfam family "Bacterial small subunit ribosomal RNA", at positions 28 to 507 of the family's 1533-position model. The record is from RNAcentral.
GAUGAACGCUGGCGGCGUGCCUAAUACAUGCAAGUCGAGCGAACAGAUGAGGAGUUUGCUCUUCUGACGUUAGCGGCGGGCGGGUGAGUAACACGUGGAUAACCUACCUAUAAGACUGGGAUAACUUCGAGAAACCGGAGCUAAUACCGGAUAAUAUAUUGAACAGCAUGGUUCAAUAGUGAAAGACGGUUUUGCUGUCACUUAUAGAUGGAUCCGCGCCGCAUUAGCUAGUUGGUAAGGUAACGGCUUACCAAGGCAACGAUGCGUAGCCGACCUGAGAGGGUGAGCGGCCACGCGGCAGAGGAGACACGGUGCAGACUACUACGGGAGGCAGCGGGAAGGAAUCGACCGCGAGGGGAGAAAUGCUGACGGAGCAACGCCGCGGUGGAGAAGAAGGUCGGCGGGUCGUAAAACUCUGUUAUUAGAGAAGAACAAAGGUGUAAGCAACUCUGCACGUGACGAUGCUACCAGAACAGAAAGCGGCUAACAACGUC